This 660-nucleotide long non-coding RNA is filed under the name Struthio camelus australis. Its description in RNAcentral is "lncRNA (ENSSCUG00000001115.1)". The record is from RNAcentral. Lineage: Eukaryota; Metazoa; Chordata; Aves; Struthioniformes; Struthionidae.
GCUGUUUUAUCUGCGGUUGUUUAGCUGACACAACCUUUAUAAAAAGUCUCAUUUCUCUUACAUUCUCUCAUCUGCAUAAGGAUCCUGUUAAUAUAACGGUUCAAAAUGAGUCUGUGAAACACAUCCGACAGAGGUAUCUCAGAGGUAUUAAUUGGGCAGCCCAGCAAUACGCCACCUCGCUGCGCAGCUGUUUGGUCCCUGCAGCUAACAAGCUCCUUAUUCUACUGCUAAGAGAGCCAGUAACAACUGCAAUAUCCACACACAACAAACAUGGCAUUCUUAUUAGAGUCCGGAAUGUUUCUUUGGUAGACAGUAACUAUCCAUUUUCUUGCUUCCCCCGCCUCAGGUGUUUUUCCAGGUUGAGAGUCUUAGCUUUCUAAGUCAGGUUGUUGACCAGUGGUUACUGAAGUCUUAAUAUCUGUGUACAAGACUAGACUGAGGAAGUAUUUAUUUCCCAUGGGUCUGGAUAUGGAAAUAUUCUUGUCUAUGUAUGUAUCUGGUGCAAAAGACUAAUGAUUACAUUAUAGUGUGCAUUCUUGUGAAUAUCUGGUGAUAUAUCAAUUGUUAUAUCCUAACAUGAGCUCUACCUCUCUAAAUAAUGUGUAAGUUGCUUAUCUUUGAGGGUUAAUAAAUUAUUGCACCAUUUUGCCUUUCUUCCCA